UGCNGUCGAGCGAGAAACCACUUCGGUGGCGGAGAGCGGCGAACGGGUGAGUAACACGUAGGUUACGUGCCCUUUGGUGGGGGAUAGCCCAGGGAAACCUGGAUUAAUACCGCAUACGUCCUUCGGGAUGAAAGCCUUCGGGCGCCAGAGGAUCGGCCUGCGGCCCAUUAUUUAAUCCUGGAUGGUAAGGUAACGGCUUACCAUGGGGUACGAUGGGUAGCUGGUCUGAGAGGAUGAUCAGCCACACUGGGACUGAGACACGGGCCCAGACUCCUACGGGAGGCAGCAGUGGGGAAUAUUGGACAAUGGGCGAAAGCCUGAUCCAGUCAUGCCGCGUGUGUGAUGAAGGCCUUCGGGUUGUAAAGCACUGUCGGGAGGGAAGAAAGCUUCGGCUUGACGGUACCUCGCAAGAAAGCACCGGCUAACUCCGUGCCAGCAGCCGCGGUAAUACGGAGGGUGCAAGCGUUGCUCGGAAUUACUGGGCGUAAAGCGUACGCAGGCGGCCAAUUAAGUUGGAUGUGAAAGCCCUGGGCUCAACCCGGGAAUUGCAUUCAAAACUGGUUGGCUUGAGUGUGAGAGAGGGAAGUGGAAUUCCAGGUGUAGAGGUGAAAUUCGUUGAUAUCUGGAGGAACACCGGCGGCGAAGGCGGCUUCCUGGCUCACAACUGACGCUCAUGUACGAAAGCGUGGGUAGCAAACAGGAUUAGAUACCCUGGUAGUCCACGCCGUAAAACGAUGUUUGCUANGGUGUUGGUGGAAUUUACCCCAUCAGUGCCGCAGUUAACGCAUUAAGCAAACCGCCUGGGGAGUACGGUCGCNAAGAUUAAAACUCAAAUGA
Molecule: ribosomal RNA, 837 nt
Filed under: uncultured delta proteobacterium
Lineage: Bacteria; Deltaproteobacteria
Description: SSU rRNA
Rfam family: Bacterial small subunit ribosomal RNA
Source: RNAcentral